Lathyrus oleraceus (garden pea) is the source of this 1836-nucleotide long non-coding RNA. RefSeq lists it as uncharacterized. The record is from RefSeq and is a predicted model, not a curated record. NCBI's taxonomy places the organism in Eukaryota, Viridiplantae, Streptophyta, Magnoliopsida, Fabales, Fabaceae. The transcript has 2 exons.
UUCAAAUGAAAUGGACGGGGUGAUUGAAAGUUGUACCAUGCGAUAUGGUGGGGAGUCCGCACGAGAUCCCUGGUUGACUUCUGGUCAACCCUGCGUGUGGCCACACAUAGAACGGCCACUUGGCCUUCAUGCAUUCAUGGAUGGGCGUCAUAUAAAACUUUGCUAAUGAGAGAGAGAGUUCAUUUGAAGAACUUCAUUCUCUCUCUUCACUUCAGAGCUACCUCUCGCUCUGCAAGUGUUCGCCCGCUCCGAUCAAAAUCCAUCGGUGAAGACGGUGGUGGUCGACCGUAGGCGUCGGCGCCACCUUCUUCUCCGGUCAAAACACCACCGUAAAAAUGCGAGAACAAAAAAAAAAGAGCCCUAACCCCUUUCUAUUUUCUUCCUACAAUCCAAAUCCGUUCUUGUUUUCAAAAAACUCUUAACCUAAACGUCCAGAUCUACACAUAGUAAACAAGAAAACCAAAACACAAACAACAAACCCUUGCCAAUACGCAACGUCAAACGGCCUCUAUAGCAAGAAUGUUUCAACAAAAGGAAAUUCAAAAAGGCCGAACCCUAAUUUUCAGAUUAGGCUUCGUAUGAUAGAGGAACAAAGCGGCUAGCAUGGGGGUUUCCAUCUAAAUCGUAAGGUGAAGAGACUAGCAUCUCUGGAUUGAAGAAAAGAACAAGGACUUACCGAAAUGGAGCCAAUCUGGGGAAAUAUUUGAUGAAACAGAUAAGUAUUUUCCGCUUCCUAUCUUUUAAAUUCCCUCUUCCUCGUCUUUUUCUUUUUUUGCUUUAGGUUCAGCUCGAAUUAUCUCAGAGUUUUAAUGGGAAACUCUGAAUAAUUUGUCAAUUUUGAGCUCUUUGUGAAGUUUUGGAUCUGAUAGCGUUUUUGUCGUGUUACGUUAGGGUUUUCUCUUAUUUCAAUCUUCUUAUGUGUAUUGCUUUUAUAUUGGGGAAAUCUCUUUUGAUAAUGAGGUUAGGGUAUCUCACUCGAAUCAAUCCGUUAGAAAGAAAAUCCCUGAUUUUGUGGGAAUUCAGCGUGAGUGGUGAGCGAGCAAAUCCACAAGGCCAUGUGUGGGAUUUUUUGUUAGCCUUAUCCCAUGUAUUUCUUCUUUGAUUUACCAUUUUUUACUGUUGCGGUAACUUGCUUUGUAGCUGUGUAUUUUCUACUGAUGUAUGUGGUACUGGGAUGUGUAUUGCGUAUGAUAAUGUCUUUGCCAAGUUGGCUCACGCAGUUUGGUUUUGCUUGAUACAGGUUCUACAGGUGAUGCGUCCUGCAAUGGCUCAAACUUCUGCAAUGGCAUCUAUAUAAUUUCUUCUGGCCAUUGGAUUUUAUGACUGCUUUGAUUUCUAACUUGGUCAUUUUGCAGGGUCUGAUUCCUCAAAACAAAUCGUAGGGCAUGUUGUUUGGCUUGUGGACUUUCGACUUGGACGGUAAUGUAGGCUGGACUUCAGGUUUGUGACGCUUUGCACCUAUUUUGACUUAGUCAUGCCUGCAUAAAUAACCAUUAUUACGGUCCUGCAACAACAUCGUCUUGUGCCGCUUCAAUCACGAUAAGCCAGGCGUAUUGGUUUUUUCCAUGCGCGGUUCUGAUGAAAACCAGGUGGUUCUACAUCAAAUUCUUCCUGCAUUACUUGUUGGUUAUUAGAGGUUGAAGGCUUGUUCACGACGUUGCAGAUCUCGCGCUUUGACGCCUACUGGCUGUAUUCAAUCUUAUCUUGCUUCCUUUGUUUAUAACAUGUAGGGACUUAGAUUACGUUAUCAAGUCAUUUGGCCAUGCCUAAACAUGUGUGAUUUGUAUGCUGUAAUGUUAGUUUGAAAAAUGAAACAAUGUAAUUUUAAUGUGUGAA